Long non-coding RNA from Prionailurus viverrinus (fishing cat), 2552 nucleotides. RefSeq lists it as uncharacterized. The record is from RefSeq and is a predicted model, not a curated record. NCBI's taxonomy places the organism in Eukaryota, Metazoa, Chordata, Mammalia, Carnivora, Felidae. The transcript has 5 exons.
GGACGCCGGGCGGACUUCGCUGGGCGCCUCCAGGCUCUCCCGGAUCUCCGGCGGAGCGGGAGGCGUGUGAGGCCGAGACGGCCCCCCAGGAACCCCUCAUGAUCUAUGUAGCCGGGGCGCGGAUUAUUGUCGGAGCAACGCCUCCGCUUUCUUGGUCACCCCCCGGCCCAGGCUGGAAUGGGAGGACCCAGCGCGCCACGUGACCGACUACUGCGCGUCACGUGACGAGGAAGCAGCGCAGCGGCGCCCGGGGAAGGAGUAGCUCUGGCGGAGCUUCUAGUAACCGUGGCGUCCGGCUCUGAGGCGCGCAGGAUUGGAGCUGCUCCAAUUUUCCCCCUCAGAUACGCUAGUUGCGGGUGGUGUCCCGUGAUGGGGGGCAUGAGUCCUGUCUCACCAUGUCUGGCUGGCGGCGACCCAGGUGCCACGUGAUGGUCAUUUGAAGACAGGCCUGUCGGAUGUCAGAUGCCUGGGAUGUGGACAAGAUGCCUGGAGAUUCAGAAACCAUUUGUGAUCAUGAAGACAAAAGCCACCAAGGACAUCAGCCUUGGACAGCCGAACACCUACACCUUAUAUGAGAAAAAUAAGCCACUUGUCUACUGGAGCCAUUCUUACCUGAGGCUGACUGCCACUUCAGCUAUGGUUUAAGGAUUCAAAACACUUUUUUAAGUAGGCUCCACGCAUAGAGCCUGGCUGUGGGCUUUGAACUCACGACCCUGAGAUCAAGAUCUGAGCUGAGAUCAAGAGUCCAAUGCUCAACCCACUGAGCCACCCAGGCACCCUUCAAUUUUUUUUUUUUUUUUUUUAGAGUCGAAAAAGAAGUACACAAUUUCAACAUAGAGCAGGAGGGAGCAAAUACCAAAAAUUAAUCCCGUCGGACACACAGAAACAAGAACACAUAGAAAACAUUUUAAAAUAAAACCAGUGAGACCAGCAAAUCUCAAACAAAGCUUUGCUUAUUUAUUUUAGACAAACAAGAGAGCAAAACUAAACUGUAUUAAGAAGGAAUAAAAGAAGCACUACUCAUACAGCAUAGGUUUAAAAAAAUAAAUUGUAAGAAUUGUGCGGCAAGGACAGAAAAGAGGGAGCGUCCUCGGAGUCCCUAAUUUACAGCACCCACUGUUUGAACCUCAUCCGUACCUGACGGUACUCGACUUAAGGAAUUGGGAUUAUUGCUUUUAUGCCAGCAAACCCAAAGAGUGGAAAAGGAGGCCCACCCGAUCUGCAGCCCAGGAGCCGCUGGGGUCUGACCACAGCGGGUUACCUGGCCCAGGUGGGCAGAGAAGCACGCUGACCGGUGCACGUGAAGAUACACACGGUGACAAAGCGGCAGAGCUGAGCCCGGGAGUCUAAGGAGACGGGAAACCUGGGUGACACGAAAGACAAGUGAGGCUUCGAGCGCGGGACACGAGAGACCUCGGUGAAAGGUACCUGGAGACACAGAGAAGAGCCGUCUGUGCUCAUGGCCCCUGGAGUCCACGGCUCCCGCAUGGCGUGUACUCAGAUGUUUACGCCCCCGAGAGGAACGUGUCUGGUUCCAGAAGCAGCCCCGAGCCCGCACCUCUGGGUCCCCCUCACCGGCUGACGAGUCCCCACAGCCCGAGGGCGUCCGGCCACAGAGAGAAGAGCCCGCCGUCAGCCAGGCCAGGCCGUCAGGAGGGCCGAGGGAGCGGAGCGGUGGGGUCAGGCAAGCUGUGGCCCUCAGGAGAAUGUCGUCCACGUGGCCCCACUCCCGGUGCUCACCGCCCGAGGACCCCCCCCCCCCCCCCCGGACACACCAGGGUGAGCCGCGUCAGAGGGCAGGGAGGUCAGGGUCAGAUUCCGGGUCGGUGGGCCUGCUCAGGCCCUCGAAGGAGAAGACCGACUCAGGUGCGAGGCCGACCAGGGAGAGGCCUUCGUGGAGGCCAGGGUCAGCCAGCGACCCUUGGGACUUCCCUCUUUGCCCGCGGCUCUCCAUACCAGACCAGAAAUCCCCUGUGGGGAGACAAGACUCUCCCGGGCCAGGCCGUUGAUGUCCGUGGUGUGGCGCAAGGGAAUCAGGAGCUGACUGGGGAAGAGAGAAGCGGGGCCGUUAGCAGGGACCCCAGGACCCCCCGCGGGGAGAGGGAAUUCAAGGGCCGGGGAUAGAGAAGAAGGGACAGGACGGGCCUCCCUGAAAAUCACAGACUCCCCGGGGAUUGGGUCCAGUCAGGCCAAGAUCGGGGAAAAGCGAGGUGCGGGGCCGUCUUCCCGAGGCCUCCCGAGGUCAGGGGUUUUAGAAGUCCACCCGUGUGCACGGUCUCAUGUAAUUUUUAAGAAUUCCGGGAACCCUCGUCGGAUGCCACGGAAGUUCACGUUUCCCACGCACAGAACUAUACCUCUUGCCUCUGUCUCUGCUCCAGGGAAGUGUCUCUGCUCCUGCCAGAAGCCAAUCUCUCCUUCUCUACGGCCUCCCCUGGGAUGUCACUCCUGCAGUCUGUCCCUCUCCCUGUCUCUUCUUCACCCUCCCCUGCCCUUCUCCUCCCUUUCCUUCCCCAGUCCUUCCCCCUCCUUUUCUCCCCCACUUCCCCCCUCCC